Molecule: long non-coding RNA, 1735 nt
Organism: Sycon ciliatum
Lineage: Eukaryota; Metazoa; Porifera; Calcarea; Leucosolenida; Sycettidae
Exons: 2
Source: RefSeq, a predicted model, not a curated record
AAGUUAGUUUAUCACUCAACAGUUACUACAACUGAAGUAGCGCUGAAUCCACGGUACUUGAAGGAGAGAGAGAGAGAGAGAGAGAGAGAGAGAGAGAGAGAGAGAGAGAGAGAGAGAGAGAGAGAGAGAGAGAGAGACCGGCUGCACGUAAUUCUGUAGUCAGUUUCAAUACUAGCAUCAUACCGGUGGUGCACUUUCCGACUCGAAACUACCGGUACACCUCGCCUCAGCCCGGAUUGUAGCCGAUUAUUCACAACUCUAGCAAAAUGGCCUCGGCUGGGCCAGCUCAGGGCCCUAUCCGAAUGUAUCAUGUCACGAAUCAGCGUUAUUGGGACAAACAGUGUUUUGUGGACAGUGAUGACAGUGAAGGGGAAAACGAUGUCUAUGGUAAACCAACCUGGACUGAACUGCGCCUGUGCUUUCCGAAUGACGAGACCUAUGAUGGCCCCCUGGCAAAACUUCCCGUGGUGUGCAUGACCACAACGCUUUGGAAGGAUGGCGAUGAGCCUGAGGAUAAGGGGACCUUGCCUAAACAGUCGACCUACCCUCGCACAACGCCUAAUGGGACUGAACACCACCGUGUCAACGUUCCGUUUGACCUAGACUCCCAUCAUUUGUUCCUGCUCCACACCGUUGGCCUUCAGCGACAAGUACUUUGCUUACCCAAAGUUCAGAAUUGCCGGUAUAUCCAUGAGCGGGUUCUGUUAGUGCUGCUUCAAAACAACAGCAAAUACGAGGAACUAACCACCGAGAACGACUAUAAAAGCAGCGACAAUGAAAGCCUCUUUCCUGUCGUCGAUGGCACUGGACCACCUGGUACCAAUACCAAGUGCUACAGAGCUAACAUAUACACUAACCCUGGAGAGAAAUACUUUGUUAAUUAACGUCCACUUUGUGACGCCAGUUCCCCUGACUGUGACAGCCGCGGAAUGGGACACAGUGCAGAAAAUUGCGCCCGGUGGUGCUGGAGCACACGGCAACCUGAUUGGCCAGGGCGGCAUCACACUUCAACAGUGUCUAGUGAAUUGGAUAAUGGAAGCGGCCUCAGACGAUGCUAACCAUGAAGCCGUAAUGGACGGUUUUCCGGCUGCUGUAAGCCUCGAGGGAAUACCUGGAGAUACUAGUAAGUGGAAGAAGUGGAACAAGGACUUCUUCGAACAACGCCUAAAAGAGGCUGACAUGUCGUCAGUGUUCCAUGACGAAAACGAUCUCACCGCUGCCAUGGCUAACGAGUAACGUGGUGGUUUAGCGAAGACGAAGGACGCACUCUGUGAUGUGUCACAGCCACAGGUGGACGAGGCAGGCAUGCGUUGUGUUUGCAUGCGGACAAUUCCCAGGCAUGGUCCAAUCUGCAUUCCCUGGUCAGCGGCCCUGGUGGAGGCUUUUGUUACUUUUCAUUGCACUGUUGUUUGUGUUGCUUCUGCUGUCUUCUUUGUCACCUAGUAUCUACUACAUGAUUGUAUUCUAGCAUCAAGACUAUGCAUGACGUCAUGUUUAAGCACUGGCCAGCCUUACCUUCUUGGAGUUUUGAGGGAGUUGGAGCUGCACCAGACUUACAUUUGUUGAUUCGUGCCUCCACUGGUCUUCUCAGCCUCACUGGGUACAGUAGGUACCUGUACUUGUGCAACUGUGUAGCCGUAUGCCCGGCUAACUGUUACUUGCAUCCACUGUGCCUCGCCGCGGCUUGUUUAUAAAUUUUUCACAUUUCUCGUAUUCCAUUUCCUCCACAUGUACC